RNAcentral lists this ribosomal RNA (466 nucleotides) under uncultured bacterium. RNAcentral's name for it is "partial 16S ribosomal RNA". It matches the Rfam family "Bacterial small subunit ribosomal RNA", at positions 28 to 507 of the family's 1533-position model. The record is from RNAcentral.
GAUGAACGCUGGCGGCGUGCUUAACACAUGCAAGUCGAACGGUGAAAGAGAGCUUGCUCUCUGGCUCAGUGGCGAACGGGUGAGUAACACGUGAGCAAUCUGCCCCUGACUCUGGGAUAAGCGCUGGAAACGGCGUCUAAUACCGGAUACGAGCUGCGAAGGCAUCUUCAGCAGCUGGAAAGAACUUCGGUCAGGGAUGAGCUCGCGGCCUAUCAGCUAGUUGGUGAGGUAACGGCUCACCAAGGCGUCGACGGGUAGCCGGCCUGAGAGGGUGACCGGCCACACUGGGACUGAGACACGGCCCAGACUCCUACGGGAGGCAGCAGUGGGGAAUAUUGCACAAUGGGCGAAAGCCUGAUGCAGCAACGCCGCGUGAGGGACGACGGCCUUCGGGUUGUAAACCUCUUUUAGCAGGGAAGAAGCGAAAGUGACGGUACCUGCAGAAAAAGCACCGGCUAACUACGUG